UCGGCUAUCGAUUACAGUGAAUACUAUUCUGAAUACAUUCUGCACACUCCGUUGAGAUGGAGGCGUCCAUGGGUUGUGGUGAUGCUUUCGCAAUAUGUAUUCUCCUACUCAAAUGACAAACUCAGCACACGGAAAUCGAAGUGGCAUUAGGAACUGACAUAAGUGAAGGCUGUUGGGUGGUUAGGGGUAGCUAAACAAUAUUAAAAUUAUUUCUAUUCGCAAAACAAAGUCAAAUCUUAGUCAUAGGGCUCGGAUAGCAUCUGCUAAAUAAAUUCCAAGCUGGCCUUUAAGCACAAGGAUAAUUGAAAAUAUCGCUUAGACAUGGUGGAUUCAAUUUAUGCGUGCUUUCCAAAGUUGAAACUCCUUCAGCAAUCUCUUUUCGCAACCGAGAGUGAAAAUUAGCCAUAAGCCGAAACAAUGCGACAAUCACCGAACGGAUGGAGGGAAAAGUCUAAUUGGUUUGGCCGAGCCAGGAAAAU
Drosophila santomea is the source of this 479-nucleotide long non-coding RNA. RefSeq lists it as uncharacterized. The transcript is spliced from 2 exons. The record is from RefSeq and is a predicted model, not a curated record. Lineage: Eukaryota; Metazoa; Arthropoda; Insecta; Diptera; Drosophilidae.